GUGUCACCUGGUAGAAGGUGCCACCACAUCUCUCCUAUCCAGAAGGAGUUGGAGCCACGUGGGCUCCAGACAUAAAUGGUACUACUGAGGCUGCAGCUCCCCUUCUCCUCCCCUGCUGCUGCCUUGCAAUUUCUGGCCAGAGACUCUCGCUGUGCAAAUGUGCCAAAACUCCUCGAUAAGGGAGCAAGAGCUAUGCAGCCUGCAUGAGUCAGCCUCCCCAACACACAGAGGUGGAACUGGGAGGAAAGGGUCCGAGUCAGACUGACCCAGGACUAGCACAGAACUCCAGGAAUUACAGCAGAUAUCCACCAUUUGACUUCCUGUAAGUCUCAUAAGGUUGCCACUCAAAAGACGUCACUUGCUCUCCAGUGAAAGAGCUGUACACACCACCUGAGCAAGGCCAGCGAGACCAACUCUCCCAAGAAGAUGAACUAUCCAUGAACCCAGAUGGUCCUUUGUGACUUUCUCGACUAACAGAGCACAGGAGAAGUGACAUGAUAUGACUUCUGAGGCUAGCUUAUACAAAUGUCAUGGAUUUCUACCUCGUGCUUUGAGGAUACUCGCCUUGCAACCCAGUCACCGUGCUGUAAAGAAGCCCAAACAGCUACUUGGAGAGACAUCGGGUACCACAGAGCCUCACCCAAGAUCUCAGCUGACAGCCAGCAUCAACCGCCAGACAUAUGAGUGCACAAGCUUUCAAAUGAUUCCAGCCUCCACCCGUCAAGUCACCCUCAGGCUUUGAGCCCUUUCCAGCUGAGGUUCCAGACAUCCUGGAACAGAGACAAGGCAUCCCCACUGAGCCCUUCCCGAUUUCUGAUACACAGAAUCCAUAAACACAAUAAGAUGGUUGUUAUUUAUACCGCUGUGUUUAGGCUGGUUUGUUACUCAACAGUAGUAACUGGAAUGGGUCAUCACUGGAGAAGAGAAUGAGGAAUGAGACCUGGAGGAGUCCUAAUAUAUUAAGAUUUGCCAAGGUGUUGCUGUGAAGGAAACAAAGUGAUCAAAUAAAGAAUGACUGAGGGGAGGGGUGGAAAGUGACCUGUGUUAGAAAUCACAACAGAAAACGCCUCUAGGAUGAGGUGGCAUUAAAGCUGAAACAAGAGGAUGAGAAGAAGCAAACCAGAAAAAGAGGAAGAAUAACAACAAUGCAAGAAGCAACUCCCUACCCAAAAGCCCACAGUGGGAAACCUUAUAGCAUACCUGGCUGAACGGUUGAAUACCAGUGUGGAGGAGGUAGACAUAACAUACAGCUGGGCAGAUCUUGAUAGGGACCAGAAUCCACAAGCCUAAGAGAUUUGAUUUUAUUUUAGAUGCAAGUGAAAGCUCUUAAAUGGUUUUGAAAAGAUAGCUGAAAUGAUCAGAUUCAUGUGGGAUACCAGGCUGUUUGAGUAGAACAAGGGAGAAAGAACAGUGGCGUACACUAAGAUGGCAAUGAGUAUGGAGAAAUAUAUAUAAAAUAUAUAUGUGUAUGUACAUACGUCUAUAUACACGCACACUUUGAGACAGAUUCCAGAAAACGUAAUGAUACAGUCUGGGCAGAAAGUGAGGAAAAGUAGGGAAUCAAGGAUCAUUCCUAGGUUUUGUUUUAAGUUAGCAUGUGAACAGUUAGAAUGGAACAGUUUGGAAGGUGGAAUAAUUGAAGUUUUCAUUUAGACAUCUUAAUUGUGGAGACGUCAACCAGUGUUUCUCAAACUUCCCCAAUGAACAGAAUCAUCUGGGGAGCUUAUUACAUAUAUGGAUUAUCAGGUUUUCUGCUGGAAAUUCUGGAUCGGUAGGUCCGAGUUGAGCACAAAGUACUGGAUUUUCUUCACUCUCGGUGGGUAAUAUGCAGCUACCAAAAGAAAGAGAAUGAGGAAGAUCUCUAUCAACUGAUAUAGAGCAAUUUCCAAGAUAUGUUAAAGGCAAAAUUCAAAAGAGUAUCUGUGGUAUGCUAUUUUUCAUGUAGGAAGAAGGGACUAUAAGAAAAUACACACGUAUCUGUGCAAAAAAGAAAUGCAGGAAGGAUAAACCAGAAACCAGUGCAACUGAUUAUCUACAGGAAGCAGAUGGGAACUGGGAGGAAAGGAAGGAAGGACGGGAAUGGCGUAGAAGGGACGAGAAAGAGAUGAUACCUAAGUAUACCUUUCUGUAUACUUUUGAUUAAAACUGAACAGUUUUCACAUACCCAAGUAAAUAAUUAAAAUCAAGAAGCAU
Long non-coding RNA from Equus caballus (horse), 2193 nucleotides. Lineage: Eukaryota; Metazoa; Chordata; Mammalia; Perissodactyla; Equidae. The record is from Ensembl.